UGGGGAAUAUUGGACAAUGGGGGGAACCCUGAUCCAGCCAUGCCGCGUGUGUGAAGAAGGCCUUAUGGUUGUAAAGCACUUUAAGCGAGGAGGAGGGUACUGGUAUUAAUACUACCAGCUACUGGACGUUACUCGCAGAAUAAGCACCGGCUAACUCUGUGCCAGCAGCCGCGGUAAUACAGAGGGUGCAAGCGUUAAUCGGAAUUACUGGGCGUAAAGCGCGCGUAGGUGGUUCGUUAAGUUGAAUGUGAAAGCCCCGGGCUCAACCUGGGAACUGCAUCCAAAACUGGCGAGCUAGAGUAGGGCAGAGGGUGGUGGAAUUUCCUGUGUAGCGGUGAAAUGCGUAAAUAUAGGAAGGAACACCAGUGGCGAAGGCGACCACCUGGGCUCAUACUGACACUGAGGUGCGAAAGCGUGGGGAGCAAACAGG
Molecule: ribosomal RNA, 430 nt
Filed under: Pseudomonadota bacterium
Lineage: Bacteria; Pseudomonadati; Pseudomonadota
Description: Proteobacteria bacterium partial 16S ribosomal RNA
Rfam family: Bacterial small subunit ribosomal RNA
Source: RNAcentral